This 497-nucleotide ribosomal RNA is filed under the name uncultured bacterium. RNAcentral describes it as "partial 16S ribosomal RNA". It matches the Rfam family "Bacterial small subunit ribosomal RNA", at positions 28 to 507 of the family's 1533-position model. The record is from RNAcentral.
GACGAACGCUGGCGGCGUGCCUAAUACAUGCAAGUUGAGCGCUGAAGGUUGGUACUUGUACCGACUGGAUGAGCAGCGAACGGGUGAGUAACGCGUGGGUAAUCUGCCUUUGAGCGGGGGACAACAUUUGGAAACGAAUGCUAAUACCGCAUAAAAACUUUAAACACAAGUUUUAAGUUUGAAAGAUGCAAUUGCAUCACUCAAAGAUGAUCUCGCGUUGUAUUAGCUAGUUGGUGAGGUAAAGGCUCACCAAGGCGAUGAUACAUAGCCGACCUGAGAGGGUGAUAGGCCACAUUGGGACUGAGACACGGCCCAAACUCCUAAGGGAGGCAGCAGUAGGGAAUCCUCGGCAAUGGACGAAAGGCUGAACGAGCAACGCCGCGUGAGGGAAGAAGGUUUUCGGAUCGUAAAACUCUGUUGGUAGAGAAGAAAGUUGGUGAGAGUGGAAAGCUCAUCAAGUGACGGUAACUACCCAGAAAGGGACGGCUAACUACGUG